This 1438-nucleotide long non-coding RNA is filed under the name Vulpes vulpes (red fox). RNAcentral describes it as "lncRNA (ENSVVUG00000014810.1)". The record is from RNAcentral. Lineage: Eukaryota; Metazoa; Chordata; Mammalia; Carnivora; Canidae.
AUGGGAAUAAUAGCACUUUUCCUCCCUACCUUCAGAGAGAUGAGAAUCUCUCUGAGAAUCAGAGAGAUGCUAUUUAUGGAAAGACAAUAUAACCACAAAUCCCUGCCUGUAUACUAUAUGGUGAAUAGUCUGUCAUUACAGGAGGUGGCAUGCUGCUAUGGACAAAGUACUGGGAAAAAAAAUCAGGAGACCUGGGAUCCACUCCUGGCUGAGCUGAAAAAUCUCUUCAUGUUGGGACAUCCAAGAUGCUCUAGACUCAUACAACCUGUGAGUCAGAAAGAUAGAUUUCCAAGAUUGGCAUGUGCUGGAAGCAUGGGCCAGUUGGCCUAUCUUAAAAGUUUCUUUCUGUGUGGAGUGGACAUAAGAGCCGAAGAGGCCUCUGGUGGGGAACUGAUGAACAACCCAAGAAUUCAAGUUAAGAAGAAAGAAACUACCUAAUCCAUACCAGCAAAUAGCUUAAAAGAGUGGUAGAAAGAAGCAAAAAAUGUAGAAUCUGACAGAUUCAAGACAAAAUCUCAUAUAGAUCAUUUAUCUGACUUUGGGCAAAUUAUUUACAAUUUCUGAGCCUAAGUAUUCUUAUCCAUAAAACUGGGAUACUAAUGUUCUUCCACUGGAUUGUUAAAAAUAUUAAAUGAGAUGCAAACGUACGAGCCUGGCCAUUUAGUCCAAUAACUAAGAACAAGGAUGGAAUGACCCUGACCUGAGUGAGGGGACAUGGAAGCCCAUUGGUCAUCUCUGGAGGACCUGAUCUAGACCUAGAAAGAUCUUGGGAGCAGGCCCUCAUCAGGUGGAGAGGAGAGGGAGGAGACAGUGGAGCUCACUUGGUUCUUCCUGCCUCCAUGGGGAUUGAUGAGGACAGAGCCCAAAUGAAGAGCUAAAGAAGGUAGAGGCUGAAGGCCUCAAAGACCAGAACAUGCUAGCAACAAACACAGGCAAGUCCAAGGAGGACCCCUGUGUCCCAGUGAUCACUCUUCUGUGAAUUCCUCCCCGUGUAGAUUUUUACAAACAGACAUACCCAACUUACCCUCCACCCAAAGUCUGCAGAGAAGGAGUAAUUGCAGCACCCAUGCCAGACUCUUCAGCAGAGCAGGCAGAAAGGGACCACAUGAGGGCAAUGCUGCUUGGUGUCAACCCUAGCCCUAUGCUCUGAACUCAUGCACCAUGAGGUCACCACUUCAUCAGUGGAAGUUCUGGGUACCUCUCCCUGUUCAAAAUCAAGGUUCUAUGUUCUCCUCUCUUUUCCCAAAUUAAAAUAGCUGCUUGCCCCCAUUCACACAUAGGCUUCCUAGAGUAAUUCCUUCCCAUAUUCAAUCCCUUUGGAAUCUCUUAUUUAAAUGGGAUCCUCAUUUCUCUUUUGCCCUAAGAUACUUACCACCAUGAUAGCCAGCUAACUCCCUAAGUCCACCCCCACGUUGGCCAGGUCUCUCCAACCCCAACU